AGAGUUUGAUCCUGGCUCAGAAUGAACGCUGGCGGCGCGCCUAAUACAUGCAAGUCGAGCGAGAAGACGUAGCAAUACGUUUGUAAAGCGGCGAACGGGUGAGGAAUACAUUGGUAACCUACCCUCGAGUGGGGAAUAACUAGCCGAAAGGUUAGCUAAUACCGCGUACGCUUCUUGGACUUCGGUUCAGGGAGGAAAGCGAUACCGUGGGUAUCGCGCUCUUGGAUGGGCUCAUGUCCUAUCAGCUUGUUGGUGAGGUAACGGCUCACCAAGGCUUCGACGGGUAGCUGGUCUGAGAGGACGAUCAGCCACACUGGCACUGCGACACGGGCCAGACUCCUACGGGAGGCAGCAGUAAGGAAUAUUGCGCAAUGGGCGAAAGCCUGACGCAGCGACGCCGCGUGGGGGAUGAAGGUCUUCGGAUUGUAAACCCCUUUCGGGAGGGAAGAUGGAAUGGGGUAACCCAUUCGGACGGUACCUCCAGAAGCAGCCACGGCUAACUUCGUGCCAGCAGCCGCGGUAAUACGAAGGUGGCAAGCGUUAUUCGGAUUUACUGGGCGUACAGGGAGCGUAGGCGGUUCGGUAAGCCCUUUGUGAAAUCUCCAGGCUUAACCUGGAACAGUCGGAGGGGACUGCCGGGCUAGAGGACGGGAGA
RNAcentral lists this ribosomal RNA (655 nucleotides) under uncultured soil bacterium. RNAcentral's name for it is "bacterial SSU rRNA". It matches the Rfam family "Bacterial small subunit ribosomal RNA", at positions 8 to 655 of the family's 1533-position model. The record is from RNAcentral.